CUCAUACUCCCUCCGUCCGGAAAUACUUGUCAUCAAAAUGGAUAAAAGAGGAUGUAUGUAGACGUAUUUUAGUUCUAGAUACAUCUCUUUUUAUCCAUUUCGAUGACAAGUAUUUUCGAACAGAGGGAGCAUGUC
Triticum aestivum (bread wheat) is the source of this 135-nucleotide non-coding RNA. Lineage: Eukaryota; Viridiplantae; Streptophyta; Magnoliopsida; Poales; Poaceae. The record is from Rfam.